Haliotis rubra (blacklip abalone) is the source of this 119-nucleotide long non-coding RNA. RefSeq lists it as uncharacterized. The record is from RefSeq and is a predicted model, not a curated record. The transcript is spliced from 3 exons. Lineage: Eukaryota; Metazoa; Mollusca; Gastropoda; Lepetellida; Haliotidae.
UCAGUAACCCAUGCUUAUCGUAAGAAGCGACUGACGGGAACUGGUGGUCAGGCUCGCUGACUUCGUUGGCACAUGCCAUCGGUUCCCAAUUGCGCGGAUCGAUGCUCAUGCUGUUGAUC